CAGACUGAUUUAAGUAUAAAUUCUGCAAAUGACAGCUGAGCUACAGACUCAUAAUGUCACUUAACAUCGCACAUUUCAGCCCAUAAACAAACAAAACAGACAAACGCUGUGAUAAAGUGCAGUAGUGGAAGAUGUCACGCGACUCACCUAAUAAGGGAUGUUUGGACCGUUACAUUCAGCCAACAGAAGCAUGUGGACAGACAUUGACUGUGAUGAUGGACAUCUGCUGAUGCACAGGCAGAAGCAUAACCCCUGCUGGACAUUGUGCUGGAACUCAGGGGGGAUGCCAUGAUCCCCCACACCUUCUCACUCACACCAGACCAUUCACUCAUAUUGCAGAGACCUGGCUGGACUUGAACCAGCAACCUCUGAAACCAUGAGGCAGUGCUCUUACCUCUGAGCCACAGAUCUCUUGUCUGAACAUGUGCAGGAACUUAUAUUUCACUAUUAACCCUGUCACGUUACAAUAAACCAUAUAAAUUUUGAACCCAUUGAGCUGGGGUUUGAACCCAUGACACCACUGCAGUCCUGACUGUAAGAAACAUUUGUUUAGCCAUUAGUGCCACACUGGCUUUCACAUUGAGGACUGGCAUUUGGGCCAAUUUGUUGGAUAUAAUGCAAUACAUGAGCUUUAAUGUAACCAAUAGUGGGGCUCGAACUCAUGACUCCAUGAUCCCAACG
This is a long non-coding RNA of Sinocyclocheilus anshuiensis, 681 nucleotides long. RefSeq lists it as uncharacterized. The record is from RefSeq and is a predicted model, not a curated record. The transcript is spliced from 3 exons. NCBI's taxonomy places the organism in Eukaryota, Metazoa, Chordata, Actinopteri, Cypriniformes, Cyprinidae.